RNAcentral lists this transfer RNA (75 nucleotides) under Filomicrobium insigne. RNAcentral describes it as "tRNA_Glu_TTC". It matches the Rfam family "tRNA". Rfam says of the family: Transfer RNA (tRNA) molecules are approximately 80 nucleotides in length. Their secondary structure includes four short double-helical elements and three loops (D, anti-codon, and T loops). The record is from RNAcentral. Lineage: Bacteria; Pseudomonadati; Pseudomonadota; Alphaproteobacteria; Hyphomicrobiales; Hyphomicrobiaceae. RNAcentral also lists the same sequence under 7 other names.
GCUCCCUUCGUCUAUCGGUUAGGACGCCAGAUUUUCAAUCUGGAAAGACGGGUUCGACUCCCGUAGGGAGCGCCA